This 303-nucleotide ribosomal RNA is filed under the name uncultured bacterium. RNAcentral's name for it is "partial 16S ribosomal RNA". It matches the Rfam family "Bacterial small subunit ribosomal RNA", at positions 507 to 809 of the family's 1533-position model. The record is from RNAcentral.
AGCAGUCGCCACGGUAAUACGUAGGGUCCGAGCGUUGUCCGGAAUUAUUGGGCGUAAAGAGCUCGUAGGCGGUCUGUCGCGUCUGCCGUGAAAUCCUCAGGCUCAACCUGAGGCGUGCGGUGGGUACGGGCAGGCUAGAGUGCGGUAGGGGAGAAUGGAACUCCUGGUGUAGCGGUGGAAUGCGCAGAUAUCAGGAAGAACACCGAUGGCGAAGGCAGUUCUCUGGGCCGUAACUGACGCUGAGGAGCGAAAGCGUGGGGAGCGAACAGGAUUAGAUACCCGCGUAGUCCCUGUCUCUUAUAA